CAGGCUGCAACCCGCCUGCGUGAAGUUGGAAUCGCUAGUAAUCGCGGAUCAGCAUGCCGCGGUGAAUACGGUUCCCGGGCCUUGUACACACCGCCCGUCACACCAUGAGAGUCGGGAACACCCGAAGUCCGUAGCCUAACCGCGAAGGGGGGCGCGGCCGAAGGUGGGUUCGAUAAUUGGGGUGAAGUCGUAACAAGGUACC
This 202-nucleotide ribosomal RNA is filed under the name uncultured bacterium. RNAcentral describes it as "partial 16S ribosomal RNA". It matches the Rfam family "Bacterial small subunit ribosomal RNA", at positions 1301 to 1500 of the family's 1533-position model. The record is from RNAcentral.